Molecule: ribosomal RNA, 468 nt
Filed under: uncultured bacterium
Lineage: Bacteria
Description: partial 16S ribosomal RNA
Rfam family: Bacterial small subunit ribosomal RNA
Source: RNAcentral
GACGAACGCUGGCGGCGUGCUUAACACAUGCAAGUCGAACGGAAAGGCCCUGCUUUUGUGGGGUGCUCGAGUGGCGAACGGGUGAGUAACACGUGAGUAACCUGCCCUUGACUUUGGGAUAACUUCAGGAAACUGGGGCUAAUACCGGAUAGGAGCUCCUGCUGCAUGUUGGGGGUUGGAAAGUUUCGGCGGUUGGGGAUGGACUCGCGGCUUAUCAGCUUGUUGGUGGGGUAGUGGCUUACCAAGGCUUUGACGGGUAGCCGGCCUGAGAGGGUGACCGGCCACAUUGGGACUGAGAUACGGCCCAGACUCCUACGGGAGGCAGCAGUGGGGAAUAUUGCACAAUGGGCGGAAGCCUGAUGCAGCAACGCCGCGUGCGGGAUGACGGCCUUCGGGUUGUAAACCGCUUUCGCAUGUGACGAAGCGUGAGUGACGGUAAUGGGUAAAGAAGCACCGGCUAACUACGUG